This is a long non-coding RNA of Daphnia carinata, 918 nucleotides long. RefSeq lists it as uncharacterized. Lineage: Eukaryota; Metazoa; Arthropoda; Branchiopoda; Diplostraca; Daphniidae. The record is from RefSeq and is a predicted model, not a curated record. The transcript is spliced from 5 exons.
GUUGGCGACUGUUGCGUCAUUGCGAACGUGCGUCAACGGAAAACAACUCUACUUUUAUGGUCAAAAUUUUACCUUGUGGGUUCCCGUGACUCCGAGAUUUUUUCUUUACAAGUAUGGAGGUCUUAGAUUAUUUUAUCCUCCAUAAGGGAAAAGCACAUUGGAUUGCCACCCAAAAUAACAUCUUCAGACGUAUUCAAAUGGGAUUUUUGAAACCUGGAUCACUCCACACAAUUAAGCUGUAGGUGGCACUCAAGGAAAGCGGAACACAAAAUAAACAUUAAACAUGAUCGAUUUGAUUGGUAAAUGCAUCAUAAAUGGCGCUAAUGCGGCCGGGAUCUUCUGUAGCCGGUGUAACAUCCAGACAUUUAGAGAAAGAUUCAUCAAGGAGGAGUUGGUGCUGUUAGACCGAAGAUUAUGCAUGCAAGAGAUGUACUCAAAUCAAAGGAGACAUCUGGGCGGAUUCGAAUUAAAUCCACUAACAGCCUUACCUUCUCACAUUUUCAAGUGUAGCUAAUUGGAGAAAAUAUGCUUACCCUACCCGAGGCUUCCUGCAGGACCUAUUGAAAAGCGACACAAAAGAAAAGCGGCUGCAUAGUAGUCCAACACAGUUUUGAAGCUCACAAGUCCAGCAUGAAAUAGCUGUUUAGGUCAGAGACCUAAAGAAAAAUAAGUUCUCUUCUCGUGUUCAGUUUGCUCUUCGUUUACGUUAACCCAAAGGUAACGUCCAUUUGUCUAGAAUUGUGUUUUCUAAACUGACAUUCUAAAAAACACUAGUCACACAGCGAUACGCCUCCUUUGUUUGUUACAUCCCUAUCUUAAGUGAGAUCUAGUUGGACAAAACGUACAUCUUUUAACUGAAGCGUGAAGUUCUUAAAGAAAAGCCCCCAAAAAAUUCGGUCGGUUGAGAGAAAAAACGAA